CUACAGGGGAAGUCGGUGAUCCUAUGCUGCCAAGAAAAUCUUCUAGCGAGGUUCGAGCCGCCCGUACCCCAAACCGACUCAGGUGGUUAGGUAGAGAAUACCAAGGCGAUCGAGUGAAUCGUGGUUAAGGAAUUCGGCAAAAUACCCCCGUAACUUCGGGAGAAGGGGGGCCCAGAGGGUGACGGGACUUGCUCCCCGAGCCUGAACGGCCGCAGAGACCAGGGAGAAGCGACUGUUUACUAAAAACACAGGUCCGUGCCAAGUCGCAAGACGAUGUAUACGGACUGACGCCUGCCCGGUGCUGGAACGUUAAGGGGACCGGUUAGCCUCACGGCGAAGCUGAGAACUUAAGCGCCAGUAAACGGCGGUGGUAACUAUAACCAUCCUAAGGUAGCGAAAUUCCUUGUCGGGUAAGUUCCGACCUGCACGAAUGGCGUAACGAUUUCUCCACUGUCUCAACCACGAACUCGGCGAAAUUGCACUACGAGUAAAGAUGCUCGUUACGCGCAGAAGGACGGAAAGACCCCGGGACCUUUACUACAGCUUGGUAUUGGUGUUCGGUACGGCUUGUGUAGGAUAGGUGGGAGACUGUGAAGCUGACACGCCAGUGUCGGUGGAGUCAACGUUGAAAUACCACUCUGGUCGUUCUGGAUAUCUAACCUAGGUCCGUGAUCCGGAUCAGGGACAGUGCCUGGUGGGUAGUUUAACUGGGGCGGUUGCCUCCUAAAAGGUAACGGAGGCGCCCAAAGGUUCCCUCAGCCUGGUUGGCAAUCAGGUUUUGAGUGUAAGUGCACAAGGGAGCUUGACUGUGAGACUGACAAGUCGAACAGGGACGAAAGUCGGGACUAGUGAUCCGGCGGUGGCUUGUGGAAGCGCCGUCGCUCAACGGAUAAAAGGUACCCCGGGGAUAACAGGCUGAUCUUGCCCAAGAGUCCAUAUCGACGGCAUGGUUUGGCACCUCGAUGUCGGCUCGUCGCAUCCUGGGGCUGGAGUAGGUCCCAAGGGUUGGGCUGUUCGCCCAUUAAAGCGGUACGCGAGCUGGGUUUAGAACGUCGUGAGACAGUUCGGUCCCUAUCCUCUGCGCGCGCAGGAAACUUGAGAAGGGCUGUCCCUUACGAGAGGACCGGGAUGGACGAACCUCUGGUGUGUCAGUUGUUCUGCCAAGAGCACCGCUGAUUAGCUACGUUCGGGAGUGAUAACCGCUGAAAGCAUCUAAGCGGGAAGCAUGCUUCAAGAUGAGGUUUCCAUGGGGUUUACCCCGAGAGGCUCCCAGCUAGACUACUGGGUUGAUAGGCCGGAUGUGGAAGUGCGGUAACGCAUGGAGCUGACCGGUACUAAUAAGCCGAUAACUUGGC
RNAcentral lists this ribosomal RNA (1355 nucleotides) under metagenome. RNAcentral's name for it is "bacterial LSU rRNA". It matches the Rfam family "Bacterial large subunit ribosomal RNA", at positions 1579 to 2925 of the family's 2925-position model. The record is from RNAcentral.